CACGUAGUUGGCCGGACCUUCUUCUGCAGGUACCGUCAUUUUCGUUCCUGCUGAAAGGGGUUUACAACCCGAGGGCCUUCAUCCCCCACGCGGCGUUGCUGCGUCAGGCUUUCGCCCAUUGCGCAAGAUUCCCUACUGCUGCCUCCCGUAGGAGUCUGGGCCGUGUCUCAGUCCCAGUGUGGCUGGUCGUCCUCUCAGACCAGCUACCCGUCGACGCCUUGGUAGGCCGUUACCCCACCAACUAGCUGAUAGGCCGCGAGGCCCUCCCGGUCCGCAAAAGCUUUCCUCGGUCGACGAUGUCGUCAUCCGAGCCCAUCUGGUAUUAGCAGCGGUUUCCCGCUGUUAUCCCAGAGAUCGGGGCAGGUUCCUCACGUGUUACUCACCCGUUCGCCACUAGGUCUUCACGAGUGUUGCCACUCGAUGGACCCCGUUCGACUUGCAUGUAUGAAGCACGCCGCCAGCGUCGUCUCGUAGCACGGACGUCAACUACU
Molecule: ribosomal RNA, 491 nt
Filed under: uncultured Iamia sp.
Lineage: Bacteria; Bacillati; Actinomycetota; Acidimicrobiia; Acidimicrobiales; Iamiaceae
Description: partial 16S ribosomal RNA
Source: RNAcentral